Long non-coding RNA from Cercocebus atys (sooty mangabey), 1352 nucleotides. RefSeq lists it as uncharacterized. The record is from RefSeq and is a predicted model, not a curated record. Lineage: Eukaryota; Metazoa; Chordata; Mammalia; Primates; Cercopithecidae. The transcript has 6 exons.
UGCAGGUGCUGGAGCCACCCUGGCAUAGGGCCCUGCAGAAAGAGAACGGGCCUCAAGCCAGGACCCUAAGCACCUUCUGCUGGAGAGAGAACUUAUGAUCCCCAUUUUCCACCAAUGGAAGCUGAAGCCCUAAAAGAGUCAGUCUCCUCCUGCACCCAAAGGCAGGGCAUGAAGGGUGCUGCUGGGGCUUGCUAGCCCUAGGCCUGCCCCUAGGAGGAAGAGCAGCUGAUCCAGUACGUGCAUGACAGGAGCGAGAGACCGGCAAAUAGUUUUGUCCUGAUGGCUAGUGCCUCUGAGAUGGACCGCGAGUGCCAUCCUGUGGCCUUCACUGUCACCAUCCUGCCUGUCAAUGACCAACCCUCCGACCUCACCACAAACUCAGGCCUGCAGACCACGGAGUUCUCAUCUCGGAGCCACUGGCCAGUGUGUGCUCCUGUGAGGACCAGAACACACUGAUGGAGGAGUUGGCAGAGCAGGCACAGCGGCGGCGCCAGGAGAUGCUGCGCAUGCACCACGUGCUGAAGGAGGGGCUCAGCAUCAUCCGCGACAUCAACACAACCACCGUCAGCAUGUCCAAGCGCCUGCCCGUGGACGACUCCUGGCUGCAGGUGUAGAGCAUCCCGGACGAACGCAGAGUUUCUGUUUAUUCUCAGUUAAUAUCCAGCUCAAUAGAUUGUCACCAACCAUGUGCCUAGAGCUAACUGUGUCAAGAAGAGCAUGCUUCAGGUGGCUGCAGUGAGCAGUUCAACCUGUGGAGGAAUGAGAAAUGAUAGUGUUGAGACAAGAAACACAAAACCCCAGGGUAAGGUAGGAAUCACUGAAAGUCAGGCAAAGGAACUGACAUCCAGUGAUGAGUCAGGCUUUGCCAGCCUCUGGCCCUACAGAUGGCUCUUUGGAGAGGAAAAAAUUAAGUCAGACCCGAGGGCACAGAUCCUGAGGGAAUGCCGGCAGCUCUGGGCUGUCUGUGAGAGUCCAGAUUUGCUGCUUCAUCCUGGGGCUUUAGGCAAGUCCUCUUUCCUCCCAGAGCUCCAGUAUCCCUUCUAUCAAAUGAUGAUGUUCUGCCUUUCUCCUAGGAUGGCUGUGGAGAUCCAGGGAGGCAGUGGCCAUAGGGAUGCUAUGUUAACUGCAGAUGCAGCCGUAGGAGCACUUUGCUAACUGCCAACAAUCACUAUCGGUGUUACCUGAGGAGCGUCAGCCUUGAUAGGUACAUGCUUUGCUGCCUGCUGCAUGAAAGGUCUGCCUGCCCUGCUGCCCCAGCCCCACACGGGGGGCAUACCUGGGACCUCAGAGCCAGGCUCCCUGCCCCUCCCUUCUGGAGCUGCAGACUUGCUCUUUGCUCUUUCUGUCCUUGU